RNAcentral lists this unclassified non-coding RNA (215 nucleotides) under soil metagenome. RNAcentral describes it as "partial contains 5.8S ribosomal RNA, internal transcribed spacer 2, and large subunit ribosomal RNA". The record is from RNAcentral.
AACCUAGCACACCUGCGGUGUGUACCUGCGGAGGGAUCAUUACCUAUUUGGCCUUUGUGGCUACGCUCGGGGGGCCUUUGGUCCCCGUCUGCACCCUCGUCUUUGCGCACUCAUGUUUCCUCGGUGGGCUUGCCUGCCGCUAGGACAACCUAAACUCUUGAAUUUUCAAUCAGCGUCUGAUAACAAUAAUAUUUACAACUUUCAACAAUGGAUCU